AGAGUUUGAUCCUGGAUUAGAUUGAACGCGGGCGGCAGGCCUAACACAUGCAAGUCGAGCGGUAACAGGAAUUAGCUUGCUAAUUUGCUGACGAGCGGCGGACGGGUGAGUAAUGCCUGGGAAUAUGCCUUGAUGUGGGGGAUAACUAUUGGAAACGAUAGCUAAUACCGCAUAAUGUCCCGGUUUAUAAUGAACUGGGACCAAAGAGGGGGACCUUCGGACCUCUCGCGUCAAGAUUAGCCCAGGUGGGAUUAGCUAGUUGGUGGGGUAAUGGCUCACCAAGGCGACGAUCCCUAGCUGGUUUGAGAGGAUGAUCAGCCACACUGGAACUGAGACACGGUCCAGACUCCUACGGGAGGCAGCAGUGGGGAAUAUUGCACAAUGGGGGAAACCCUGAUGCAGCCAUGCCGCGUGUAUGAAGAAGGCCUUCGGGUUGUAAAGUACUUUCAGUUGUGAGGAAGGCGGUAACGUUAAUAGCGUUGCCGUUUGACGUUAGCAACAGAAGAAGCACCGGCUAACCCCGUGCCAGCAGCCGCGGUAAUAC
RNAcentral lists this ribosomal RNA (544 nucleotides) under Photobacterium sanguinicancri. RNAcentral describes it as "bacterial SSU rRNA". It matches the Rfam family "Bacterial small subunit ribosomal RNA", at positions 8 to 526 of the family's 1533-position model. The record is from RNAcentral. Lineage: Bacteria; Pseudomonadati; Pseudomonadota; Gammaproteobacteria; Vibrionales; Vibrionaceae.